CGCCUCUUGAUAAAUUAUAAGAGGUCCAGCCUGCCCAGUGACAAAGUUCAACGGCCGCGGUACCCUAACCGUGCGAAGGUAGCAUAAUCACUUGUUCUUUAAAUAAGGACUAGUAUCAACGGCACCACGAGGGCCAUACUGUCUCCUUUCUCCAAUCAGUGAAACUGAUCUCCCCGUGAAGAAGCGGGGAUUAACAUAUAAGACGAGAAGACCCCAUGGAGCUUUAAACUCAUCAUACACCUCUAUUUAUCUACAUCAUUAUACUCUAAAAGAUUUGUAUGCUGGUUUUAGGUUGGGGGGACCGCGGAGUAAAAACUAACCUCCACGACAAAUGGGCUAUGCCCUUAUCCGAGAACUACAAUUCUAAGAAUCAAUAAACUGAUGUUUAAUGACCCGAACAAUCGAUCAACGAACCAAGUUACCCUGGGGAUAACAGCGCAAUCUACUUCAAGAGCCCCUAUCGACAAGUAGGUUUACGACCUCGAUGUUGGAUCAGGGUAUCCCAGUGGUGCAGCCGCUACUGAAGGUUCGUUUGUUCAACGAUUAAAACCCU
This 553-nucleotide ribosomal RNA is filed under the name Meristogenys whiteheadi (Whitehead's Borneo frog). RNAcentral's name for it is "partial 16S ribosomal RNA". It matches the Rfam family "Bacterial large subunit ribosomal RNA", at positions 1829 to 2597 of the family's 2925-position model. Lineage: Eukaryota; Metazoa; Chordata; Amphibia; Anura; Ranidae. The record is from RNAcentral.